GACGAACGCUGGCGGCGUGCUUAACACAUGCAAGUCGAACGGAAAGGCCCUGCUUUUGUGGGGUGCUCGAGUGGCGAACGGGUGAGUAACACGUGAGUAACCUGCCCUUGACUUUGGGAUAACUUCAGGAAACUGGGGCUAAUACCGGAUAGGAGCUCCUGCUGCAUGGUGGGGGUUGGAAAGUUUCGGCGGGUGGGGAUGGACGCGCGGCUUAUCAGCUUGUUGGUGGGGUAAUGGCUUACCAAGGCUUUGACGGGUAGCCGGCCUGAGAGGGUGACCGGCCACAUUGGGCCUGAGAUACGGCCCAGACUCCUACGGGAGGCAGCAGUGGGGAAUAUUGCACAAUGGGCGGAAGCCUGAUGCAGCAACGCCGCGUGCGUGAUGACGGCCUUCGGGUUGUAAACCGCUUUCGCCUGUGACGAAGCUUGAGUGACGGUAAUGGGUAAAGAAGCACCGGCUAACUACGUG
This 468-nucleotide ribosomal RNA is filed under the name uncultured bacterium. RNAcentral describes it as "partial 16S ribosomal RNA". It matches the Rfam family "Bacterial small subunit ribosomal RNA", at positions 28 to 507 of the family's 1533-position model. The record is from RNAcentral.